GUUGCCAGAUGAAAUAUGGCUCGAUAGCUCAGUCGGUAGAGCAGAGGACUGAAAAUCCUCGUGUCCCUGGUUCGAUUCCUGGUCGAGCCACCAAAAAAGCAUCUAAGAUACUUAUCUUAGGUGCUUUUUUAUAGUAAGUUAAAUUUUAAAAUGUAAUUAUACUUAAAAUUUAGUUUUUUUUAUGUUAAAAUUAAAC
RNAcentral lists this transfer RNA (196 nucleotides) under Clostridium botulinum Bf. RNAcentral describes it as "tRNA-Ala". The stretch from base 18 to 90 matches the Rfam family "tRNA". The record is from RNAcentral. Lineage: Bacteria; Bacillati; Bacillota; Clostridia; Eubacteriales; Clostridiaceae.